GGAGCAUCUGCCUGCUGGUGCCUUGGGAUAAUGAACCACUGGUGCUGCCCCCGGGGCCUGACCCUGGCUACCCCAUCACGGCAGAGAUCAUAGAGGAGGAGAGGAAGGCAGCGCAGCAGCGGUUGUGCCGACUGCUGGGGCAAAAGGAGGAUGAGGUCCCCAGCACCAGUGGGGAAGGUACGUCCCUGGGCACAGCCAUCGCCCAGGGCUCCUCGGGUACCAGCCGCACAUG
Long non-coding RNA from Melopsittacus undulatus (budgerigar), 232 nucleotides. RefSeq lists it as uncharacterized. Lineage: Eukaryota; Metazoa; Chordata; Aves; Psittaciformes; Psittaculidae. The record is from RefSeq and is a predicted model, not a curated record. The transcript is spliced from 3 exons.